GUGCCGCAAACAGAUGUUCCUGCAGUUUCGGCCAAAAAUCUGCAGAUGGCAGCAAAUAUGGAUUUUACUACUAUUUGUAGGGGCACUACUACUUACUAUCUCCCUCCUGUUCAGCACGAAGCCGCAGAGAACAUCUUCAAAUUUGAUGAAAUUGUUCGAGAACCACAACCAACCCGUCGAGGACCUGGACCAUGCCAUGAACCUCUUCGCAGGAAUAAACAACGAGACAGGCGCCGACCAUCCGAUCGUCCCGAACAUCGUCCACUUCAUCCUCUUCGAGGACCCCAGAUGAGCUUCGUUCACUUCGUCUGUGUCCUGGCCGCGCUCCGCAACCAGCGCCCCGAGCGCAUCUACUUCCACACGAACGUUGCGCCCUCUGGCAACUACUGGGAGCGGCUCCUCAAGCUCGGGCCCUUCACCGAGCGGCUCGUCCUGCGGCACAUGGAGAUGCCGACCGAGAUCUUCCACCAGAGGAUCCGGCCGCGCUGGCGCGUCUUCCACGGCGGCGACAUCGCCCGGAUCCGCGUCCUCAUGCAGUACGGUGGCAUCUUCCUCGAUAACGACUCCUAUGUCGUCAGGAGCCUCGAUUUCUUCCGCAGGUUCGAGAUGACUAUCGGCUGGGACGAGAAUCAGUUCCUUGGCUCUCAGAUCCUCAUCGCGCACAAGGACGCCAGAUUUUUAUACCGGUGGCUACACUCCUACGACAAGGCGUACAACUCGAAGCGGUGGUACUACAACGCGGGCGAACUGCCGACCACAUCCGUUCUGCACCACCACCCGGAACUCGUCCAUCGCGUCAAGGUCCUUUUCGGGAACGACCUGAAAUUCAGGUACAAGCUCUUCAGGCAGUACUGGCCCGACUGGAGACAGCACUACACUUUCCACCUCCUCGCGCGGCACCUCGGGAAGCUCCGCAACAUCUCGAGCGUCGCCACGUAUCCCGUCGUCUUCGACGAGCACAACGUUCAAAAUUAUCCCAUCACCUUCCGCGAGAUGGCCAAUGAGGUCCUCGAUUACGAGAAGCACCUUUUAAAAGGAGGCGACUUUUGA
RNAcentral lists this long non-coding RNA (1050 nucleotides) under Bemisia tabaci. RNAcentral's name for it is "lncRNA ENSSSA1NGG008669". The record is from RNAcentral. Lineage: Eukaryota; Metazoa; Arthropoda; Insecta; Hemiptera; Aleyrodidae.